GGACUACAGGGGUAUCUAAUCCCGUUUGCUACCCUGGCUUUCGUGCCUCAGCGUCAGAUAAGAUCCAGUGAGCCGCUUUCGCCACCGGUGUUCCUUAGGAUAUCAACGCAUUUCACCGCUCCACCCUAAGUUCCGCUCACCUCUAUCUUCCUCGAGCACGGUAGUUUUGGGCGCAAUUCCUCGGUUAAGCCGAGGUAUUUCACACCCAACUUUCCGCACAGCCUACGCACCCUUUAAGCCCAGUGAUUCCGAACAACGUUUGUGUGGUUCGUCUUACCGCGGCUGCUGGAC
This 291-nucleotide ribosomal RNA is filed under the name uncultured bacterium. Its description in RNAcentral is "partial 16S ribosomal RNA". RNAcentral also lists the same sequence under 2 other names. The record is from RNAcentral.